UCGUGCUAGGUGGGGAGGUAGCGGUGCCCUGUAACCCGCAAUCCGCUAUAGCGGGACGGAAUUCCUCAUGUUGAGGCCCCCACCGGGUGGAAGGUUUCUCCCGUAUUCAGCCUUGAAGGUUGGGUCCUGUGCCACGAGGCGUUGUGAACCCGGUCAGGUCCGGAAGGAAGCAGCCGUAAGCAACUCUCCUCGGGGGCCGCAGGAGUGCCUGAUCUGAGCUGGGUACGGGCAGCGGCGUUUCUCCCGGUAGGUCGAGACGGGGUGCACGG
RNAcentral lists this signal recognition particle RNA (269 nucleotides) under Caldilineaceae bacterium. RNAcentral describes it as "signal recognition particle sRNA large type". It matches the Rfam family "Bacterial large signal recognition particle RNA". From Rfam's summary of the family: The signal recognition particle (SRP) is a universally conserved ribonucleoprotein involved in the co-translational targeting of proteins to membranes. Archaeal SRP consists of a 7S RNA and homologues of the eukaryotic SRP19 and SRP54 proteins. In most bacteria, the SRP consists of a 4.5S RNA and the Ffh protein (a homologue of the eukaryotic SRP54 protein). The record is from RNAcentral. Lineage: Bacteria; Bacillati; Chloroflexota; Caldilineae; Caldilineales; Caldilineaceae.